Molecule: ribosomal RNA, 517 nt
Filed under: Daphnia sinensis
Lineage: Eukaryota; Metazoa; Arthropoda; Branchiopoda; Diplostraca; Daphniidae
Description: partial large subunit ribosomal RNA
Rfam family: Bacterial large subunit ribosomal RNA
Source: RNAcentral
CAAAAACAUCUCUUUUUGACACAUAAAAAGUACCGUCUGCUCAAUGCAAUUUGUAAAUAGCCGCAGUAUUCUGACUGUGCUAAGGUAGCAUAAUCAUUAGUCUUUUAAUUGAAGGCUGGUAUGAAUGACGAGACGAGAAAAUAGCUGUCUCUAAAAUAAAUCUUGAAUUUUAUUUCUAAGUGAAAAAGCUUAGAUAAUUUUAAAGGACGAUCAGACCCUUUGGAGCUUUAUUUAUUUUAAAUUUUAAUUUAUUUUAGAUUAUUGAAUGAAUAAUAAAUUUUGUUGGGGCGACAGAGAGUAAUAAAUAUCACUCUUUUUUUUAAACAAUUAUAAUUGAAAAAUUGAUCCUUAAAGUAAGAUUAAAAGACUAAGUUACCCUAGGGAUAACAGCGUAAUCUUCUUGGAGAGUUCAAAUCGAUAAGAAGGUUUGCGACCUCGAUGUUGGAUUAAGAGAUUGACAAGGUGCAGAAGUUUUGUUGGAAAGUCUGUUCGACUUUUAAUUUCUUACAUGAUCUGA